AUAAUUUUGAAGGCAUGUUUUGCUGAAAAGCCAACUGAGAAAAAUUUUACGAAUGGGAUGAACACGCUCCAGUUAAUGGACUAUCUACUGAAUUUUGGAUGUUAACAUUGUCCAUCUGGUACAGUUACCUAGUGAUGUACCUAUUCUCACAAUACCCUAUUUCAGUCUGUUUGUCUUGAUUAAAGAAUUCAAAGUGGAGUACCGCAAACUUGAUAUGGAUAAUAAAAAGAAAGACAAGGACAAAUCAGAUGAUAGAAUGGCACGACCUAGUGGUCGUUCAGGGCACAACACUCGAGGAACUGGGUCUUCAUCUGGAGUUUUAAUGGUUGGACCUAACUUUAGAGUUGGAAAAAAAAUUGGAUGUGGCAAUUUUGGAGAAUUACGAUUAGGGAAAAAUUUAUACACAAAUGAAUAUGUGGCAAUUAAAUUGGAGCCCAUGAAAUCCAGAGCACCACAGCUGCAUUUGGAAUACAGAUUCUAUAAGCAGUUAGGAUCUGGAGAUGGUAUACCUCAAGUUUACUAUUUUGGUCCUUGUGGUAAAUACAAUGCCAUGGUGCUGGAGCUGCUGGGACCUAGUUUGGAAGACUUGUUUGACUUGUGUGACAGAACAUUUUCUCUUAAAACAGUUCUCAUGAUUGCUAUACAGCUGAUUUCUCGCAUGGAAUAUGUCCAUUCAAAGAACUUGAUAUACAGAGAUGUAAAACCUGAGAACUUCUUAAUAGGACGACCAGGCAACAAAACCCAGCAAGUUAUUCAUAUUAUAGAUUUUGGUUUGGCAAAGGAAUAUAUUGAUCCAGAGACAAAGAAACAUAUACCGUACAGAGAACACAAGAGCCUUACAGGAACAGCUAGAUAUAUGAGCAUUAACACACAUUUAGGAAAAGAACAAAGUAGAAGAGAUGAUUUAGAAGCUUUAGGUCAUAUGUUCAUGUACUUUCUGAGAGGCAGUCUUCCUUGGCAAGGCUUAAAGGCUGACACAUUAAAAGAGAGGUAUCAGAAAAUUGGAGAUACAAAACGAGCUACACCAAUAGAAGUGUUAUGUGAAAAUUUUCCAGAAGAAAUGGCAACAUAUCUUCGUUAUGUAAGAAGGCUAGAUUUUUUUGAAAAGCCAGACUAUGAUUAUCUAAGGAAGAUUUUUACUGACUUAUUUGAUCAAAAAGGAUAUCUGUUUGAUUAUGAAUAUGACUGGAUUGGUAAACAGUUGCCUACUCCAGUGGGUGCAGUUCAACAAGAUCCAGCUUUAUCAUCAAACAGAGAUGCACACCAACACAGAGAUAAGAUGCAGCAAUCCAAAAACCAGGUUGUAAGUUCUACAAAUGGAGAGUUAAACACAGAUGACCCUACUGCAGGGCGUUCAAAUGCACCCAUCACAGCCCCUACAGAAGUAGAAGUGAUGGAUGAAACCAAGUGCUGCUGUUUUUUCAAACGAAGGAAAAGGAAAACCAUACAACGACACAAAUGACUCUGGACACAGACAGACCAUGGGGAGUUACUUACAUGUUCAUCUGCUGUCUUGGGAUUAAAAUCAUCUCUGUA
Molecule: non-coding RNA, 1536 nt
Organism: Castor canadensis (American beaver)
Lineage: Eukaryota; Metazoa; Chordata; Mammalia; Rodentia; Castoridae
Source: RefSeq, a predicted model, not a curated record